AAAAUAUUACUCAGGUUUUCAAUGCACAAAUAUCUAAUUUUUAUUCUAAAAGUAUUCCUCAGAAAUGCCACUCUGUUUCCAUGGUUGAAGAAGAUUGGAUCAACUCAAAGUACCUGAAGAAUCCUCACGAUUUGAAAGAUCACGGACAAGUUCCUGCAGUGUUGGAGUGGGCUGAGUAUAGAGGAGAUUGUUAUGAAGAAUAUAAUUCGAAAACUACUUGUAACAAGGACAAUAGAUGUUUAAUACAAUUAAGCUCAGGCUACCUUUGCCUUUGCUUUAGGGAAACAAGCUUUGACCGACACCACCAUGGAUAUUGCUCAGGUACAAUUUCGAAUACUAAUUAAAUUAAUUUCAUAUAUGAAGUGUAAUUACUGCAUUUGCUCGAACCAACUACGUAUCUAACACAAAAUUAGUGAAAGUAAUUGCAGAAUUCGCAUAUGUAAAAAGGGCAAGAUAUAUAUAUAUAUAGCCGUAAUUUAUUUUGAUAUUCUAUUUCAUCUUUUGGGUUUGUUCAGGUAACUUGCUCUGUAAUAUCACAAGCCCCUACAAUUGCUCAUUAGGAUGUCCCAAAGGUUACUUUUUAGAUAAUUUUUAUUCUAAAAGUAUUACUCAUAAGUGCCACUCUGUUUCCAUGGUUGAAGAAGAUUGGAUCAACUCAAAGUACCUGAAGAAUCCUCACGAUUUGAAAGAUCACGGACAAGUUCCUGCAGUGUUGGAGUGGGCUGAGUAUAGAGGAGAUUGUUAUGAAGAAUAUAAUUCGAAAACUACUUGUAACAAGGACAAU
RNAcentral lists this long non-coding RNA (784 nucleotides) under Citrus maxima (pomelo). RNAcentral describes it as "long non-coding RNA (CMAX_LNC000310)". Lineage: Eukaryota; Viridiplantae; Streptophyta; Magnoliopsida; Sapindales; Rutaceae. The record is from RNAcentral.